UAGGGAAUUUUCGUCAAUGGCGCAAGCCUGAACGAGCGAUGCCGCGUGAGUGAAGAAGGCCUUCGGGUCGUAAAGCUCUGUUGCGGGGGAAAAAGGCAGCAUCAGGAAAUGGGUGCUGACUGAUGGUGCCCCGCCAGAAAGUCACGGCUAACUACGUGCC
Molecule: ribosomal RNA, 160 nt
Filed under: uncultured bacterium
Lineage: Bacteria
Description: partial 16S ribosomal RNA
Rfam family: Bacterial small subunit ribosomal RNA
Source: RNAcentral